GUAGGUGAACCUGCGGAAGGAUCAUUAACACGUUUCUAACGUUUAUCAACCAACUCUAACUGUAUUUCCCUAGUUAAUUAAGUAUCGUCAUUUUGUUAGUAUUCAGGUUUUGGUGAGGUCGCACCCCAGUUGGCAACGACAGGGGCAGUGGACAUGCCUGGAGAAAGCAAGUCUUAUUGGCAACGAUAAGACGGGCGAUGAAUUAUUAAUUAGGCUCAACUUCUCACCUACUUUCAACCACCUUGGAAGG
This 250-nucleotide unclassified non-coding RNA is filed under the name plant metagenome. RNAcentral describes it as "partial contains small subunit ribosomal RNA, internal transcribed spacer 1, and 5.8S ribosomal RNA". The record is from RNAcentral.